RNAcentral lists this ribosomal RNA (499 nucleotides) under uncultured Glomeromycotina. RNAcentral describes it as "partial small subunit ribosomal RNA". It matches the Rfam family "Eukaryotic small subunit ribosomal RNA", at positions 591 to 1092 of the family's 1831-position model. The record is from RNAcentral. Lineage: Eukaryota; Fungi; Glomeromycota.
CCAAUAGCGUAUAUUAAAGUUGUUGCAGUUAAAAAGCUCGUAGUUGAAUUUCGGGGUUAGUAGGCUGGUCGUGCCAAUGGUAUGUACUGGCUUUACUGAUUCCUCCUUCUUGAAGAACUGUAAUGCCAUUAAUUUGGUGUUGCAGGGAAUCAGGACUGUUACUUUGAAAAAAUUAGAGUGUUUAAAGCAGGCUUACGCUUGAAUACAUUAGCAUGGAAUAAUGAAAUAGGACGUUGAUCCUAUUUUGUUGGUUUCUAGGGUUGACGUAAUGAUUAAUAGGGAUAGUUGGGGGCAUUAGUAUUCAAUUGUCAGAGGUGAAAUUCUUGGAUUUAUUGAAGACUAACUACUGCGAAAGCAUUUGCCAAGGAUGUUUUCAUUAAUCAAGAACGAAAGUUAGGGGAUCGAAGACGAUCAGAUACCGUCGUAGUCUUAACCAUAAACUAUGCCGACUAGGGAUCGGAUGAUGUUAAUUUUUUAAUGACUCAUUCGGCGCCUUACG